Molecule: ribosomal RNA, 489 nt
Filed under: uncultured bacterium
Lineage: Bacteria
Description: bacterial SSU rRNA
Rfam family: Bacterial small subunit ribosomal RNA
Source: RNAcentral
GAACGCUAGCGGCAGGCUUAACACAUGCAAGUCGAGGGCAGCAUGAGACGGAGAUUCGUCGAAGUCUUGAUGGCGGCCGGCGCAAGGGUGCGUAACGCGUGAGCAACUUGCCCGUUUCAGGGGGAUAACCCGGUGGAAACGCCGACUAAUACCCCAUAGUAUUGAGUUCAGGCAUCUUUACUCAAUUAAAGAAUUUCGGAAACGGAUAGGCUCGCGUGACAUUAGCUAGAUGGCGGGGUAACGGCCCACCAUGGCUACGAUGUCUAGGGGUUCUGAGAGGAAGGUCCCCCACACUGGAACUGAGACACGGUCCAGACUCCUACGGGAGGCAGCAGUGAGGAAUAUUGGUCAAUGGUCUGACGACUGAACCAGCCAUGCCGCGUGAAGGUCACGGCCCUAUGGGUCUUAAACUUCUUUUGUAAGGGAGCAAUAAGUCUCACGUGUGGGAUGAUGAGAGUACCUUACGAAUAAGCAUCGGCUAACUCCGUG